This 538-nucleotide ribosomal RNA is filed under the name Salmonella enterica subsp. enterica serovar Stanley. RNAcentral describes it as "bacterial SSU rRNA". It matches the Rfam family "Bacterial small subunit ribosomal RNA", at positions 984 to 1522 of the family's 1533-position model. Lineage: Bacteria; Pseudomonadati; Pseudomonadota; Gammaproteobacteria; Enterobacterales; Enterobacteriaceae. The record is from RNAcentral.
ACAUCCACGGAAGUUUUCAGAGAUGAGAAUGUGCCUUCGGGAACCGUGAGACAGGUGCUGCAUGGCUGUCGUCAGCUCGUGUUGUGAAAUGUUGGGUUAAGUCCCGCAACGAGCGCAACCCUUAUCCUUUGUUGCCAGCGAUUAGGUCGGGAACUCAAAGGAGACUGCCAGUGAUAAACUGGAGGAAGGUGGGGAUGACGUCAAGUCAUCAUGGCCCUUACGACCAGGGCUACACACGUGCUACAAUGGCGCAUACAAAGAGAAGCGACCUCGCGAGAGCAAGCGGACCUCAUAAAGUGCGUCGUAGUCCGGAUUGGAGUCUGCAACUCGACUCCAUGAAGUCGGAAUCGCUAGUAAUCGUGGAUCAGAAUGCCACGGUGAAUACGUUCCCGGGCCUUGUACACACCGCCCGUCACACCAUGGGAGUGGGUUGCAAAAGAAGUAGGUAGCUUAACCUUCGGGAGGGCGCUUACCACUUUGUGAUUCAUGACUGGGGUGAAGUCGUAACAAGGUAACCGUAGGGGAACCUGCGGUUGGA